This 972-nucleotide non-coding RNA is filed under the name Bryophryne bakersfield. RNAcentral describes it as "partial 12S ribosomal RNA". The stretch from base 126 to 972 matches the Rfam family "Bacterial small subunit ribosomal RNA". Lineage: Eukaryota; Metazoa; Chordata; Amphibia; Anura; Craugastoridae. The record is from RNAcentral.
CUGAGAUGGAACUUAAAACCCCCUUUAAACACAAAGGCUUGGUCCCGACCUUAAAAUCAACUUUUACUUAACUUACACAUGCAAGUCUCCGCAUCCCUGUGAAAACGCCCUAACUCCCUUUAGCCAGGAAAAGGAGCCGGUAUCAGGCACAAUAAUUUGCCCAAGACACCUAGCAACGCCACACCCACAAGGGUCCUCAGCAGUGAUUAACAUUGAUUAUAAGUGCAAACUUGACUCAGUUAAAGGAAACAGAGUCGGCAAAUGUGGUGCCAGCCGCCGCGGUUACACCACAGACUCAAAUUGAUUUCUCUCGGCAUAAAACGUGAUUUAAGUCAUAACCCCAUUAGAGUUGAACCUUCCCUAAGCCGUGAUAAGCUUGUAGCAGGUAAAAUCAAAUACGAAAGUUACUCUAACCCUCCCACCUUGAAUUCACGAAAAUUUGGUCACAAACUAGGAUUAGAUACCCUACUAUGCCAUCUAGUMGUAAACUUUAACUUACUCCAUUCGCCAGGGUACUACGAGCUAAAGCUUAAAACCCAAAGGACUUGACGGUGUUUCAUAUCCAACUAGAGGAGCCUGUCCUAUAAUUGAUAACCCCCGCUUAACCUCACCACCCCUAGCCAAUCAGCUUGUAUACUUCCGUCGUCAGCUUACCACGUGAGCGAACUUCAGUAAGCAUAACGGCCUCGCCAAUACGUCAGGUCAAAGUGCAGCAUAUGGGGCGGGAAGAGAUGGGCUACACUCUCUAAUGUAGAAUAAACGAAAGGCCUAAAUGAAACUCAGGCCUGAAGGCGGAUUUAGCAGUAAAAAGAAAAUAGAGUGUUCUUUUUAACUAGGCACUGGAACGUGUACACACCGCCCGUCACCCUCUUCAAACACAUACCUCCCCGUAUUUAACCCCUAUCACUAUUAAAGAAGAGGCAAGUCGUAACAUGGUAAGUGUACCGGAAGGUGUGCUUGGAAACGAAAUAU